GAUGAACGCUGGCGGCGUGCCUAAUACAUGCAAGUCGAGCGAACGGACGAGAAGCUUGCUUCUCUGAUGUUAGCGGCGGACGGGUGAGUAACACGUGGAUAACCUACCUAUCAGACUGGGAUAACUUCGGGAAACCGUAGCUAACACCGGAUAAUAUUUUGAACCGCAUGGUUGAAAAGUGAAAGACGGUCUUGCUGUCACUUAUAGAUGGAUCCGGGCUGCAUUAGCUAGUUGGUAAGGUAACGGCUUACCAAGGCAACGAUGCGUAGCCGACCUGAUAGGGGGAUCGGCCACACUGGAACUGAGACACGGUCCAGACUCCUACGGGAGGCAGCAGUAGGGAAUCUUCCGCAAUGGGCGAAAGCCUGACGGAGCAACGCCGCGUGAGUGAUGAAGGUCUUCGGAUCGUAAAACUCUGUUAUUAGGGAAGAACAUAUGUGUAAGUAACUGUGCACAUCUUGACGGUACCUAAUCAGAAAGCCACGGCUAACUACGUG
RNAcentral lists this ribosomal RNA (497 nucleotides) under uncultured bacterium. RNAcentral's name for it is "partial 16S ribosomal RNA". It matches the Rfam family "Bacterial small subunit ribosomal RNA", at positions 28 to 507 of the family's 1533-position model. The record is from RNAcentral.